ACGGGGCCGUAGGAACACAACUUGAAGCCCUGCGUCUCGCCCCCAACCAGAGUUUAACAACAAAUGUUGUCGGCACCCCACAAAAAACGGCGGCGAAAUAAUUUAAUGCAGAAUCAGGAUAAUCAUCUUGAACGUCUUUGCGCCCGCCAGUUUUUGGCGGGCACCCUGUUAGAGGGUCAUCCAACCAUCAAGCCCCGGGCUUGUGUUGGGGCCCUGCGGCUGCCGCAGGCCCCGAAAACCAGUGGCGGGCUCGCUGUCACACCGAGCGUAGUAGUUACCACCUCGCUCCGGGCGUGCCGCGGGUUCCGGCCGUUAAACCCCCCACUUUCCAAAGGUUGACCUCGGAUCAGGUAGGAGUACCCGCUGAACUAAGCAUUCAAGAACACGAGAAAGUACG
RNAcentral lists this ribosomal RNA (397 nucleotides) under Penicillium italicum. Its description in RNAcentral is "partial 5.8S ribosomal RNA". Lineage: Eukaryota; Fungi; Ascomycota; Eurotiomycetes; Eurotiales; Aspergillaceae. The record is from RNAcentral.